AUGUUUGUUGAGCAUUUUGGGUGCCCCCAGUGCUGUAGAAAAUGCAGCGUAUUCCUUAUCUCGUGGAAACCCUACAACUGCUCUUGGGACAUCAGUACUGUCUUUAUUCCCAUUUUACAGGUAAAGAAACUGAGGCUUGGAGAGGUUCUGACGCCAGCUUGGCUAGAAAGCCACGAAGAGUGUGGAGAGAGGCAGAAGGGACCCAGGUUAGGAGCUCUGCUGAGACUCAGGAAAAAGAAAAGUACGCCAACCCUUCCACAUGGAGAUGUGAGCAAGCAAAAGAGGUAGAAGGGCAAUUCACGAAACAACUGUAAGGAAAUGACCUCCAGUUAUAGAAUACUUAAUUUCAUAAGUAAUUCAAGGAGAUAUAAAUGCAAAGAUCAAGGUGUCAUUUGUCACCUGUAAAAUUCGAGAACUUACUUUAUGUUACUAUUUACUGUGUUUGUGUUAUGAUACGGUUAUGCUCAUAACAGUAAACGUGUAUAAACUUUCUGGAAAGCAUCUUGCAAAUUAUGCAAAAGAUGUU
RNAcentral lists this long non-coding RNA (526 nucleotides) under Vulpes vulpes (red fox). RNAcentral describes it as "lncRNA (ENSVVUG00000008437.1)". The record is from RNAcentral. Lineage: Eukaryota; Metazoa; Chordata; Mammalia; Carnivora; Canidae.